This is a non-coding RNA of Helianthus annuus (common sunflower), 186 nucleotides long. Lineage: Eukaryota; Viridiplantae; Streptophyta; Magnoliopsida; Asterales; Asteraceae. The record is from Rfam.
AUACCUUUCUCGGCCUUUUGGCUAAGAUCAAGUGUAGUAUAUGUUCUAUAUCUGAUACGUGGGCCAACAACCCACUUUGUAUUAAUCUUAUUUUUCAUGGGGAAAGGCCCACCACAGUAGCUUGCUAUUGGUGUCUUUGCGCGUCUCAUUGGUCUUGCACAAUUGCCUUGGCCUGGUGUACCCCUC